ACGCUGGCGGCGUGCCUAAUACAUGCAAGUAGAACGCUGAAGAGAGGAGCUUGCUCUUCUUGGAUGAGUUGCGAACGGGUGAGUAACGCGUAGGUAACCUGCCUUGUAGCGGGGGAUAACUAUUGGAAACGAUAGCUAAUACCGCAUAACAAUGGAUGACCCAUGUCAUUUAUUUGAAAGGGGCAAAUGCUCCACUACAAGAUGGACCUGCGUUGUAUUAGCUAGUAGGUGAGGUAACGGCUCACCUAGGCGACGAUACAUAGCCGACCUGAGAGGGUGAUCGGCCACACUGGGACUGAGACACGGCCCAGACUCCUACGGGAGGCAGCAGUAGGGAAUCUUCGGCAAUGGGGGCAACCCUGACCGAGCAACGCCGCGUGAGUGAAGAAGGUUUUCGGAUCGUAAAGCUCUGUUGUAAGUCAAGAGCGAGUGUGAGAGUGGAAAGUUCACACUGUGACGGUAGCUUACCAGAAAGGGACGGCUAACUACGUGCCAGCAGCCGCGGUAAUACGUAGGUCCCGAGCGUUGUCCGGAUUUAUUGGGCGUAAAGCGAGCGCAGGCGGUUUGAUAAGUCUGAAGUUAAAGGCUGUGGCUCAACCAUAGUUCGCUUUGGAAACUGUCAAACUUGAGUGCAGAAGGGGAGAGUGGAAUUCCAUGUGUAGCGGUGAAAUGCGUAGAUAUAUGGAGGAACACCGGUGGCGAAAGCGGCUCUCUGGUCUGUAACUGACGCUGAGGCUCGAAAGCGUGGGGAGCGAACAGGAUUAGAUACCCUGGUAGUCCACGCCGUAAACGAUGAGUGCUAGGUGUUGGAUCCUUUCCGGGAUUCAGUGCCGCAGCUAACGCAUUAAGCACUCCGCCUGGGGAGUACGACCGCAAGGUUGAAACUCAAAGGAAUUGACGGGGGCCCGCAC
Molecule: ribosomal RNA, 911 nt
Filed under: uncultured bacterium
Lineage: Bacteria
Description: bacterial SSU rRNA
Rfam family: Bacterial small subunit ribosomal RNA
Source: RNAcentral